UACGGGGGGGGCAAGCGUUGUUCGGAAUUACUGGGCGUAAAGGGCUCGUAGGCGGCCAACUAAGUCGGAUGUGAAAUCCCCAGGCUCAACCUGGGAACUGCAUCCGAUACUGGAUGGCUUGAAUCCGGGAGAGGGAUGUGGAAUUCCAGGUGUAGCGGUGAAAUGCGUAGAUAUCUGGAGGAACACCGGUGGCGAAGGCGGCAUCCUGGACCGGUAUUGACGCUGAUGCGCGAAAGCCAGGGGAGCAAACGGG
This 253-nucleotide ribosomal RNA is filed under the name uncultured bacterium. RNAcentral describes it as "partial 16S ribosomal RNA". It matches the Rfam family "Bacterial small subunit ribosomal RNA", at positions 524 to 776 of the family's 1533-position model. The record is from RNAcentral.